GAUGAAGAGCGUAGCGAAAUGCGAUAAGUAAUGUGAAUUGCAGAAUUCAGUGAAUCAUCGAAUCUUUGAACGCACAUUGCGCCCGCCAGUAUUCUGGCGGGCAUGCCUGUUCGAGCGUCAUUACAACCCUCAGGCCCCCGGGCCUGGCGUUGGGGAUCGGCGGAGCCCCCCGUGGGCACACGCCGUCCCCCAAAUGCAGUGGCGGUCCCGCCGCAGCUUCCAUCGCGUAGUAGCUAACACCUCGCGACUGGAGAGCGGCGCGGCCACGCCGUAAAACACCCAACUCUUCUGAAGUUGACCUCGAAUCAGGUAGGAAUACCCGCUGAACUUAAGCAUAUCAAUAAGCGGAGGA
RNAcentral lists this unclassified non-coding RNA (352 nucleotides) under soil metagenome. RNAcentral describes it as "partial contains 5.8S ribosomal RNA, internal transcribed spacer 2, and large subunit ribosomal RNA". The stretch from base 1 to 120 matches the Rfam family "5.8S ribosomal RNA", at positions 35 to 154 of the family's 154-position model. The record is from RNAcentral.